This 216-nucleotide ribosomal RNA is filed under the name Glomeromycotina sp. RNAcentral describes it as "partial small subunit ribosomal RNA". The stretch from base 75 to 216 matches the Rfam family "Eukaryotic small subunit ribosomal RNA", at positions 721 to 864 of the family's 1831-position model. The record is from RNAcentral. Lineage: Eukaryota; Fungi; Glomeromycota.
GGGUCAGUAGGUUGGUCGUGCCACCGGUACGUACUGGUCUCACUGAUUCCCCCUUCCUGAAGAACCGUAAUGCCAUUAAUUUGGUGUUGCGGGGAAACAGGACUGUUACUUUGAAAAAAUUAGAGUGUUUAAAGCAAGCUAACGCUUGAAUACAUUAGCAUGGAAUAGUGAAAUAGGACGAUCGAUCCUAUUUUGUUGGUUUCUAGGAUUGACGUA